AUUUUAUUUUAUUUUAUUUUAAUUAGAGAAAUAUGGAGAAAGCAAGUUUCUUUACUAACCAACAAACAACAACAAUUUUUACAACUUGAAAGUUUGAUUUAGUUAGUUCAAUAGCUAUCUGCUGCCAAUUAUAUUCUUCUUGUCAUUAACCCUCAUAAAGUUAAUUUUCUUUAUUAGAAUAUCUUUGUUGUUUAGUCUAUGCAAAUAAAGCUAAAAUAAUUUGUAGUUUUGACAAUUUUAUCUCAAUGUCAAAUUAAACUUGAUUGCAUUGUCAUGAGAAUCGGAUUGGCCCAGCUGGUUUGAUCAAAAGCCAGAUCAGUGACUUGUCUGGUUUAAGAGUGAAACUCUAUUUUGAAGAGAAUCGGGAUGACUAUUAUGAGCCGGUGGAUAACCAGGUGAACCGGCCAACCCAAUUAUUCAAAACGUAUUGAUCAACUCAAUAAAAAAUAUUUUGAGGGAAGCUUGCGGAAGGACUCGAACCUGCACCCUAGUAAUCCCAUAUUGUGCUGUUUGCCAUCUCAUUUGGGAGUCACUUUUGGGCGUUGCUCUGACACAUUUCUUAUCAUAUAAUAUAUACAAUAAUGCCUCAA
Molecule: unclassified non-coding RNA, 590 nt
Filed under: Hevea brasiliensis (rubber tree)
Lineage: Eukaryota; Viridiplantae; Streptophyta; Magnoliopsida; Malpighiales; Euphorbiaceae
Source: RNAcentral